GUCUUUUUGAGUUAUUUUUAAAGUCUAACCUGCCCACUGAAUAUAUUUUUAAAUGGCCGCAGUAUUCUAACUGUGCAAAGGUAGCAUAAUCAUUAGUCUUUUAAUUGAAGGCUGGAAUGAAUGGUUGGACGAAGUAUAAGCUGUUUCAUAUAAAAUUAUAUUAGAAUUUUAUUUUUUAGUAAAAAAGCUAAAAUUUUAUUAAAAGACGAGAAGACCCUAUAAAUCUUUUUAUUUAAUUUUAUUAAAAUUUUUUUGAUUUAUUUUAUUUUUAUAUUUUUAAAUAUUUUGUUGGGGUGAUGUUAAAAUUUAAAAAACUUUUAAUAAAUAAAAAAAUCAUUAAUUUAUGAGUUAUUGAUCCAUUAUUAGUGAUUAAAAAAUUAAGUUACUUUAGGGAUAACAGCGUAAUUUUUUUUGAGAGUUCAUAUCGACAAAAAAGUUUGCGACCUCGAUGUUGGAUUAAGAUAAAUUUUUAGGUGUAGCCGUUUAAAUAUAAAGUCUGUUCGACUUUUAAAUUCUU
RNAcentral lists this ribosomal RNA (517 nucleotides) under Ceratitis millicentae. Its description in RNAcentral is "partial 16S ribosomal RNA". The stretch from base 393 to 517 matches the Rfam family "Bacterial large subunit ribosomal RNA", at positions 2473 to 2597 of the family's 2925-position model. Lineage: Eukaryota; Metazoa; Arthropoda; Insecta; Diptera; Tephritidae. The record is from RNAcentral.